This 449-nucleotide ribosomal RNA is filed under the name uncultured bacterium. Its description in RNAcentral is "partial 16S ribosomal RNA". It matches the Rfam family "Bacterial small subunit ribosomal RNA", at positions 28 to 523 of the family's 1533-position model. The record is from RNAcentral.
GAUGAACGCUGGCGGCAGGCCUAACACAUGCAAGUCGAACGCUGUAGCAAUACAGAGUGGCGCACGGGUGCGUAACGCGUGGGAAUAUACCCUUCACUGCGGAAUAACGUUUGGAAACGAACGCUAAUACCGCAUAAUGACUCCGGUCCAGAGAUUUAUCGGUGAAGGAUUAGCCCGCGUUAGAUUAGCUAGUUGGUGAGGUAAAAGCUCACCAAGGCGACGAUCUAUAGCUGGUCUGAGAGGAUGAUCAGCCACACUGGGACUGAGACACGGCCCAGACCCCUACGGGAGGCAGCAGUGGGGAAUAUUGGACAAUGGGCGCAAGCCUGAUCCAGCCAUGCCGCGUGAGUGAUGAAGGUCUUAGGAUUGUAAAGCUCUUUCACCGAUGAAGAUAAUGACGGUAGUCGGAGAAGAAGCCCCGGCUAACUUCGUGCCAGCAGCCGCCGCAG